AGGUCUGUAGCAAUACAGAUGCUGGCGACCGGCAAACGGGUGCGGAACACGUACAGAACCUUCCUUCGAGCGGGGAAUAGCCCAGAGAAAUUUGGAUUAAUACCCCAUAGUAUAUUGAAGAAGCAUCUCUUUAAUAUUAAAGAUUUAUCACUUGAAGAUGGCUGUGCGGCUGAUUAGGUAGUUGGCGGGGUAACGGCCCACCAAGCCUGCGAUCAGUAACUGGUGUGAGAGCACGACCAGUCACACGGGCACUGAGACACGGGCCCGACUCCUACGGGAGGCAGCAGUAAGGAAUAUUGGUCAAUGGACGCAAGUCUGAACCAGCCAUGCCGCGUGGAGGAUGAAGGUCCUCUGGA
This 356-nucleotide ribosomal RNA is filed under the name uncultured bacterium. Its description in RNAcentral is "bacterial SSU rRNA". It matches the Rfam family "Bacterial small subunit ribosomal RNA", at positions 70 to 422 of the family's 1533-position model. The record is from RNAcentral.